UACGUAGGGGGCAAGCGUUGUCCGGAAUCAUUGGGCGUAAAGCGCGUGUAGGCGGCCAGGUAAGUCCGUUCUGAAAGCCCGGGGCUCAACCCCGGGAGGCGGGUGGAUACUGCUUGGCUCGAGUCCGGAAGAGGCGAGUGGAAUUCCCGGUGUAGCGGUGAAAUGCGCAGAUAUCGGGAGGAACACCAAUGGCGAAGGCAGCUCGCUGGGACGGUACUGACGCUGAGACGCGAAAGCGUGGGGAGCAAACAGG
Molecule: ribosomal RNA, 253 nt
Filed under: uncultured bacterium
Lineage: Bacteria
Description: partial 16S ribosomal RNA
Rfam family: Bacterial small subunit ribosomal RNA
Source: RNAcentral